UUAUUAAAAAGUGCAUUUGUAAAAAAAACAUUCGAUCGUAAUCGUUUGCUUUUUGCGUAGGUAUCAUUACCAACAUCAUAUUUUUGAAUGCCAGAGUGAAAAACUUAUUAUACCUUACUCUCGAGAUCUCAAAUGUUGGCAAAAUAAUUUAAGUUUGGAAAAGUUUCAAAUUUUGUUUAAAAUAAGAAAGUGUACUUAUUACUGUUAUAUCUUAAAAGAAGCUGCAAAUGAUUUAACAUAUAUAUGCAGCUUGAAAAGGAUUUUUUAAAAUUCAUUUAACAGUAUGAGUAGAAAACGGUAACAGAAGUGUGAUAUAAAAAAAAACAAUAAAAUAUAGGGAACAUUUUAAUAAGAAAUUUAUUAUUCGUAAUAAUUUACGCAGUUUAAAAAUAAGUUGAAAUGAGUCGGAAGAAAAAAUUUGGAAAAAAAAAAUCGAAAAAUGCUAUGAGGGAUAUAGAAUAAAUAGUAUUGAAUCAUUUUUUUUAAUUUUAUAUAAAAUAUAUUAAGCGACGAAAUACUUGAUAUUAAUAACAUCUUCACAAUUAAUUUAUUAUUGUGAUAUAAAUUGUAUUUAAGGCAUUUUUGUGUGUUCAUUAAUUGUAGAUACUUCUAUAUCAUUUUUAUAAUAUUUUCCUUGUUCAUUAUGCUCCGUUACCCAAUUUUAAGGUA
This 669-nucleotide unclassified non-coding RNA is filed under the name Melitaea cinxia (Glanville fritillary). Its description in RNAcentral is "misc RNA ENSMCXG00005018497.1". Lineage: Eukaryota; Metazoa; Arthropoda; Insecta; Lepidoptera; Nymphalidae. The record is from RNAcentral.